GUACAGGAGUAAUGGAGUCAGCAGAGGCACACAGCAGCAUGGAGGCAGAAGAGAGGCUGGAGUGAGCUGUUACUGUAUGCUCACUCCCAUCAGCCUCAGCUUGGACCAGAGCAUUUAGCAAGCCACCCUCCAGGACACAAAGGUAAGCUAACAGGAGUGUAUGUGUAUCUGAGUGUUUCUGUCAGUGUGUGUAUCUGAGUGUAUGAGUCAGUGUAUGUAUCUGUGUGUAUCUGAGUGUGUGUAUCUGUGUGUGUGUGUAUGUGCCAGUAUGUGUUUCUAAUUGUAUGUGUCAGUGUGUAUCUGUGUGUGAGUAUGUCUGUGUGUCAAUGUAUAAAUCUGGAUGUAUGUGCCAGUGUGUGUAUCUGAGUGUAUGUGCCAGUGCGUGUUUCAAUGUGUGUAUCUGUGUGUCAUUGUGUAUCUGAGUGUGUAUGUGCCAGUGCAUGUAUCUGUGUGGCAAGGUGUUUAUUCAUGUUUGUGGGCUGUGUGUGCAUGUGUGGGGGGAAGUGGGUUGGCGCCAUAGCUGGUGUAGCCACCUCCCUAAAAUGAAUUUUUGCAAGUUGGGAUGUCUGCCUCUCUGAAGUCUGCAGAGUGGUCUCUUAACCUUUACCAGCUUUGCCUAAACAUCAGUAGUAGCUCAUAGGCGUGCGCACGGGGUGUGCCGGGUGUGCCUGGGCACACCCUAAUCCCAGUGGCACCCUAUGGUUUGAGUCCCGCAGGAACAGCGUUCCUGCACUUGUUUUGAGCAGGAACUCUGUUCCUGCAGGCACUCAGCGCCCCCUGUUUCACCUCUUGCCCCUGUCAUGGGGGGGCAAGAGGUGAUGGAUCCCCCCCUCUCUGAAGCUCAGCCGCGGCGAGGGAGCUGUGUGCUGUCUGAUCUCUGCUCCCUCUCGCCGCGCGCUGAUGCCGGGAGCCGGAAUAUGACGUCAUAUUCAGGCUCCCAGCUACAGCAGACAGCCCGCGCGGCGAGAGGGAGCAGAGAUCAGACAGCUCCUCUCCAGGUAGGAGGUUGGGUGGACAUUUUUUUAAAUGAAAAUGUAAUAAUUGUGUUCUUGUGUGUGUGUCUGUGUGUGUGUGUCUGUGUGCGAGUGUCUGUGUGCGAGUGUCUGUGUGUGUGUGUGUCUGUGAAUGUAUGUGUGUCUGUGAAUGUGUGUGUGUGUGUCUGUGAGUGUAUGUAUGUAUGUGUGUGUGUGUCAGUGAGUGAAUGUGUGUGUCUCUGUGAGUGUGUGUCUGUGAAUGUGUGUGUUUGUGUGUCUGGGUGUCUGUGUGUGUGUCUGUGAGUGUCUGAGUGUGUCUGUGUGAGUGUGUGUCUGUGAACGUGUGUGUGUGUGUGUCUGUGAGUGUAUGUAUGUAUGUAUGUGUGUGUGUGUGAGUCAGUGGCGGAUCCAGAGCCUGAUCUCGGGAGGGGCACUUGUAGAUUAUUUAAUUAAAUAAUCCAGGCACAAUAACCACUACAGCUCAGUGUAGUAGUUAUGGUGUCAGUAGUGCCAGAAUUCCACCCCAGAGUAAGUAGUCAUACCGUUUAAGAACAGUUUGACAACUUACCUGGGGUCUGCUGGGAUAUAGGGUAUAGUAGCAGUGGUGUGUGUUAAGGGUGAAGAGUUCACUCUCACGAGAGGAGGACCCGGAGGAGCUGCAGACUGAGCUCCGGGUCCUCUCUCUCAUUCCCUCCCUCCGCCGCCGGCUGUCAGCACGGUGCCUGCGGAUCGGGGAGGGAGAUCUGUGAUCUUCCUCCCCGGUCCGCAGGCACAUUGCAGGGCUCACAAAUACACGAGACACAGAAUCAUGGAAAUACACUAUUACAACUAGAUUUGUUUAACCCCUUAAGGACACAUGACACGUGUGACAUGUCAUGAUUCCCUUUUAUUCCAGAUGUUUGGUACUUAAGGGGUUAAUGACUAUCCUAGUCUGUUCAAUAAAGACUCAAUUAAAAUCUUCCAGGUGUCCAUUCUAUAAUUCCCUGUCACUGAAUCUCUUUUAACAAUAACAAAUUCAUAUCCAGGUAAUCUAGAUCUACAAAUAAUGCAGUGUGCAUUGAUUGAUCAUCCAACGAAUUUACUAUGAUCACAUUUGAUACUAUGAUCUGCCGAAUAAAAUCUACUUAUAGCAUUGCAUGCAGGUAUACACUGUCCCAGAUCUUUUCAAAUUCACCACUUUAUCACUUUUAAUCUAAACACAUGUUUUGUGUGCUAUGAUUUAUUAAACGAUGUACAGACUUCUUUAGGAAGAUGGUUGUUGUACUAUAUACUUAUAUGAAUAUUAAUAGACUAUAAGCUUCUGUCAAGGCAAAUAUUGAUUGUUCUGUGUCACAAAAGAGGUAUGCUUCCUUUCCCCAGCAUGGUGGAUGUAGGAGCAUGUUUUAGAAAAUGAUGUGAAGACAGAACAGAUUUGGACAGACCUUCUUAAUGAGCACUUAAAGAACUUGCUGCAAGCAGCUUGUGCAAAACAUUAAACAGAGGAGUCAAUUAAUGUUGAAAUGUUUUAGCAACAAACUUUUGCAUGAAGCAAAAGUGGCCCUUCCCAUGAACAUAGGUCUCUUCUAACAGGGUAAUUCACUGAAUUCCAGAUUGCUGAUACCGAAUUGGGCAAUAUCAUACUGGGCCUUUCGACAUGCAAAAUCACAAUAUUGUUCACACUAUUUAACUGUAUCAAGAUUUUGCAAAAAGAGCCUGAUAUGGUCUGAAUUUCAGCCAGACUGAGUCUAGCGCUUUAAGUCCGGUCCUGAAUUGUAAAAAUCUUGGCCCUGAUGCUUAAAAAUUUUGCCAGGAUUUUUAAAAAGCUGAACUAUUUGCAUAAACAGCUGCACAUUAAACAAAAUAAGUCAAUGACCCCUAUAUUAGUAUAAGGGAGGUGUAAAAUAUUCUUAUCACUCCAACCAGGUGGGGCUACUUAUUAAAUGAGGGGACCCAGUCUUCCCCCCAACCCCUACCUAUGGGCAGUGGGUGGGAGAUAUACAGUAAAUAAAAUGACCAGGUGGUCUAAUUUUCCUUUCCAAACAUGUAUACUUAACAUUAGAUGUCUUCUUUCUUCUACAGUAUUCUAUUGUUCAACACCAAAAUAGGCUUAAAAAAUCCAUUACAUUCUGACUUUGCUAUUAAAAUAAUAAAAAAGCCCCGAUUCACAAAAACUCAAUAUAGAAAUAGAUCCAAGUGAUCCUGGGUACAAAAAGAGAUUUCAAGGUUGGAAAAAACCUUAGUGGAUCAUAUUGAUUGGUUGGCCUGCAAGACAACCAAUCACAGUGCUCUGACGUGCAAGAUUCACUCUCGAGACAUGCCUGGGAAUACAUUUAAUAUUAGCCCCCAACUGCCAACCAUUGGUGGGGUCUGAGUUUUUAUCACGUGACAGGAGGCUUUAUAUUUGCAUAAUCUUUCUUUACUAUAACUCCAACAGCACAGAUCAAUCAAAACUUUUAAACCAAUCAGAAAACAAGAGUCACUGCUAUAAAUAGCGCUGUGAUGCACUUCCACUUCCUCUUUCUUUGCUGCUCAGCCAGAGUACAGGUCAGAGUAUUACUUCAUCCAUUUCUAUCUAUUUACAAUUUGUCAGUAAUUCUGUUUUUUCAUACUUUUUCUACUUUAAUUUCUCCCCUAUCACUGCUCCUCUAACCCUACCUUCCCUCCUUUCUACCCAGCUAACUUCCUGAGGUAACUUUCCAUCUGCGGCCCAAUUUUGUUCGCGGGCGGGUGUCUGUGUACCGUUCCUGGUAACAGGGGUUGUUUUGGGUGUUGGGGCACUGUGGAAAUUGGAGACUUUUUUAUUUAUAAUUUUUUGGUUUUUUUUCGUUUUCUCCGCCGCUCGCACGGGAGUUGUUCCCAUCUUGGAUUGCAGUAGGGACCCUAAUUGUGGCCUUGUUUGGUAUUUAUCCUGACACUGGGGAUAUGGCAUCCAGCCUUCAGAAUCUCCCUUCAUAAAUCAGGAUUCCUGUCAGAAAUUACUAGACGACUUGCUGAUCCUCUGCGACUCGGCCUCACUACUGGUCCUCAGACGAGAUUUAUCGUGGACUUUAUCAAAUCGUUGGGAUUCAUAGUUGUGACAGAUCCAUCUGUAUAGACUGGAAUUGCUGGUUCGUCUGUUUUGCCUCUUUCGUGGAAUUACCUGUCCGUAUGCCCCUGUUUGUUUGUUUAUUUGACUUUUCUGCCGAACAAAACUACUGAAUGGACGGCCACCCAGAAGAGAAGUGUGCAGCUGGUUAACCUCUUGAUCCCAAUUAGAACGUUGUGGUUAACCGCAGACACCUCUCAAUUAAAACCGAAUACAGGGUGGUCGUCGUUCGUAUGUUGACCACGAGGCGGCGGCCAUUUUAAAACAGGCGAAAGGCCAGCGGUGUUCGCCACAGAUUCUAUGGAACUAAAAACGGACACUUUUUUUCCGCCGAACACCGCUAAAGCCACGACCUCCCUUUUCGAUUGACAAAAGCAUACGAACACCGGCCAUUCGGGAGUUUGAACCACACGAAUGGACUUAACCCAGAUAGCCUUCCCAUGGAGUCAAUCGCAUACCGAAAGACUGUAAUAGACUUUGACUCCAUGGUGAUUGAACUGUGCGUAUGGGAUCUGAGCGCUAUUCGCCAAUAAUAUGCACUCAGAUCCAGGCUAUCUGGGGAUAUGUUACACGAAUGAGAAAUGUUCGGCAAUUCUAAAGUUAUAUAUUUUUAUGUGUUUUUUGGGUUGUAUCUAAAAUUGCUAUUUGCCUCUGUCCUGGGAGAUAAUUGAAUUACUUCUCAAUCAUCUCCAGGGCAGAGGAGAGGAAACCAUGAUGCAUGCUGGGAAUAUUAUGUGCCUGUGUGUCCUGAAAUACUGUAUGUCCAUCUGCUAUUACAGUCUCCCAUUUGGUCCCCUAGGGGAGUGUCCACCAAGUGGGAGACCUGCAUAAAUACGGGCGGGUAGCCCACAGUAAACCCAGUUCAUGUUUUACCCUCAAUGCAGAGCUUGGUCUCGUUAUUGGGGGGAUUUAUUACGACGAAUAGAGACUGCCGGAUGGGAAUAUUAGCCGCUUGGGAGAUAUAUGCGUUCAGCUACUAGCGGCGCUUCGUGGGUUUGCUGAUUGGGAAGUGAAGUACCCGUACGGGUCCCGUUCGGGAGAUUGGAACAUUCCCCUGCUUGCAAUUCGUAUGAUUGCAGUUGAUACGAAUGAAGCUUGCGUUAUGGUGAGAGGGGAGGAUUCACUAAACGGCGGUUUGUCUAUUUAAUGCUGAGGGUGCCGUUACAAUAGUAAACAGGGAAAAAGCGUCUCUCAAACCAGCUCAAAUUGUCCAGUUCCUUGGAUUCGAGAUCGACUCCACAACGUGCCUUCUAUGCCUACCCCUAUCGAAAAUUGCAUCGAUCCGGAAGGAAAUUCGUAAAGUCCUACAAUUGGAGCUCAUCCCUUUACGGCUCCUGGCACGUCUGGUGGGCCUUCUAUCCGCCUCUAUACAGGCGAUAUAUCCGGGCCCACUCCACUACAGAGCCAUGUAAAGACACAGGGCCCGUAUCUUACGGGCAGGUUACUCCCCAACUAAUACCGAUCACCACAGAGGUGCGCAAGGAACUACGUUGGUGGCUCCUUCAUAUGCAGGCCUGGAAUGGGAAAGCCAUCUUUGGGCCUUCUCCAGACUUCGUAGAGGAAUUGGAGGCUGGGGAGCACACUGCGCAUAAUCCUCCACCGGGGGCCCAUGGCUUCACGAGGAGGUGGAAAUGCACAUCAACUGCGCUCGACUGACUGGUCUUGCGAGGAGACUUUUCGUAUCUUCUAUUUCCGUCCUGCUUCUCAUGCUUCUUUCACCCUUCUCUCACAGCGUUAAAAAUGCAAAUAUGAAGCCUCCUGUCAUGUGAUAAAAUUGUAGAUUAUGCUAACGUAGUGUACCUAUAAUCUUAAUUUUAGUAAUGACAGGAGGCAAAUAUUUCCCCUUCUUCUCCCUGGCAGGCUUCUCUGUCCUCUCUACCUAUUUUCCACUGUUGCUUACACAUUUUUUCUUACUUUAUUAUGGUGACAUCAUUUUACAAAUUUAACAUGAAUGUCUAGAGAUAUUGUCACUAGGGUACUGAUGAAAUAUGGCCAUUUCGCUACAGUUCACCUUUUUCUCCUUUUUUGCUGUUUGAAUGCUGGCACCAUACGGUGGAUUUUGUCUUCACACCUUGGUCGUUUCAAGCAAAAUUUGAAUUACAUAGGAUCCACAUCGUUAUCUGAGUUAUGAUUUUUGGACUUGUUCACGGGACUCUUCGUUCACUACAAAGAAUGAGGAAGUGGAAGUGCAUCACAGAGCUAUUUAUAGCAGUGACUUGUUUUCUGAUUGGUUUAAAAGUUUUGAUUGAUCUGUGCUGUUGGAGUUUUAGUAAAGAAAGAUUAUGCAAAUAGGAAGCCUCCUGUCAUUACUAAAAUUAAGAUUUAUAGGUACACUACGUCAGCAUAAUAUACAAUAAUUUUUUUUAAAUCUUGUGUAUAGUAAAUUACCCUUUAAGUGUCUUCACUAUUAUAUGGUGGUUAGUAAGAUUUGCUUUAAUGUGAUGUUUCUCUCUGCAUAGUCUUCAAAAACAGGGAAAAAGGCAGUCAGACAAAGACAGAAAGAGAAAGAGAUACUUGUGGCAAAAGUAACCUCGCCACUGGUUCUUGGAGGUGCAUGUUUGUCAGCCUCCUGCCUCAGGACUAUGGGCCAUGUAAAAAGGCUCAUAAAAGACCUUGUUUGUGCCUUUUUACUGUUGUUUGGUAGAUUGCAUUCCCCUCCUAUUCUAACAUUGUCCCGUUCGACUACCGAACAACCGCACCAACCAGAGAUCACCCGGGAGCUUGUUAACACCUAUUAACACCUUGGAACGGUUCUCACCGCAGUGUUCUAAUUGUUCGUCUGGGUUGCCGCAAUUCCUAUGGACAACCACGAGGUGGCGACCAUCUUGUUCACGUGAACGCAGGCAGCGGUGUUUGGGCAUGAAUCUCAUGGAACUAAAAUUGGACACAGAAACUCCCGAACACUGCGGGACUUCCAUCAUCGCCUGCGUUCGGUUCUACACACUUUAGAAAAGUGUUUGUCUGCAUGAGGGAAACAAGCUCCAAGGUACGAACAUUGACUAUGUUUGGUAGUUUGUUCGUUUUCCAAACUACCGAACUAGACCGACUGCAAGCCCUGAUUCUAUGGAACUGUUUUAGGCAUGGGACCAUGUGUGCAUUCGGUCAAAUAAAUGACUUCCAGGAAAGUCCUGAACCCCUGAACUGAUCUGGGUGAUUUUUGGAUAUGUUGGUCAACCAGAUCAGGGCUAUCAGGGGAUGUAACAUUUGUGUGGGUGUUGUAUGUUUUAAAUGUAUUUUGGGGGUUUUAUAAAAAUGUCAGUUUUGUGUCUGGAGAUAAUUGAGUUUAGUUCAGUGCUUGACUCAAUUAUCUCCCAGAUACAGGCGGGAUUAAUCUAUUAUGUGUGGCAGUGUCCUGGACCUGAGAGCCAAUGUAAUUGUGUAUUUGUUUAUACUGUGGUUUACUCUCAGGUCCACGGAGGAGUGCCCCUUGCAUGGGGACUUGCAUAGUUGUGGCUCCCAUUAAACGAGUUCCUGCUUACCCUCAACAUAGAGUCUCAUCUCGUGUGUGGGGGAAAUGGCUGUUUCUACCCUGGGGAUUGCUAUAUCACUAUAAUCCCCUGGGAUUAUAAUCAUUUGCUCUUUUAAGAGCAUAUUGCUACACUCUAUUGCAGGAGAGGUCUACCCACUGGAAGCUGGAUCUUGCUCUUGGGUCCAGAGUGGGUGGAGGACAGCGAGACACCAACCAAGCUGUAACGCUGGAAGUGGGGACUACAGUGCUGAUGGUGUCUUGUGGUGUGCUUGGAGUACUCGGUGAGCACUAGGAGUAUUGAUUGGCAGAGGCACCUGGUUGGGGUGCCAGGCGGUCCGCCACAAUACUGAUGAUGGAGAUACUAUUGACAGAGUAUGUAUGCUUUGGCGUAAAUUUUUAAAUUGUAAUGCUCCAUGAUGGACAUGAUAAAAUUACAAUUUCAAAACCAACCAUUAUAGAUGGUACUUAUAUAAACUGCCAUACCACAUCUAAUACAACCCUGUCAGAAGAUACAUUGACAUAGGGCUUUUCGAGCUGUAUCAUUCUCUCACUUGCCUAAUCACAAAGAAGGUCUGUGUUUUGACCAAACAGAUAUGUAUACAGAAUUCAAACGUGUUGGUUGGGCAACACAAACACAAACCAAUUUUCAACAUCUAUUCACUCUUUAUCAGAUGGAGCCUAAUAAGGACAGAAAUUGCUUAGUUUGAAUUGCCCAUAUAUUUAUUUAAAGGAAUUAUCCAGUGCCAGGAAAAUAUAUUUGUUUUCCUGGCACUGCAGGACCCUCUAGUGCCCCUCUCCCACCCACCCCCCAUCCCAAGUUGCUGAAGGGGUUACAUCACCCCCAGCACUCAGGGCUCCCCAUAUCAGCACUUACACACACCUUUCAUAUUCCCGCCAAUUCACUUAAACUUACCCCCCACGAAGGGUCACACUUACCCGUCAGAAGGGGUUGCACUCACCCGGUCGGAACUCCAUCUACAGGCACAAGUCUGCUUCUGCCUCAAAGCACAUCCACAGUAGGCACUACAACAGCAAAGCAGGCUGUAAACACCAAUCACUCACAGACAUUUAAAGGGGAAGUUAAAUGACACAGUUCCAGCCAUUGCAAAUAUAACACAAUUAUGAAAAUAUCAUGGCUGAUUAUUAAGUACAAUAUGUUGUAAUAAUGGAAUAUGCAUUAAUGUCACAAAUGGUUUUCCCCUCUCAUGCGUUUAGUUAUGCUGAACAAAUUACUUUACAACUCUGCUGACAUCUAUUGUAUUCUAAUGCAAGGGUGUUGCAUUAAAUCUGUAGAUCUGCUUUUGUGAUUCUAAUCCAAUCAUGAUUCUCAAGAAGUAUUUUGUCGCCUAAUAACUGAUUCUCCUUGCAAGGUUUUACAAGACCUAGACAAAGACAAGAAUAUUGUAUUAUUUCAUAGGUAUGUGCACCAUAAGCACAAACAUACGUUAUGUUAAGCAGACAUAACACUCCCAGUGCACGAACAUACAAUGUACGCCGGGUACACACGAUACCUAGCAUUCAUUUGCAUAAUUGCUAUAACGUAUUUUGACAUAUGUUACAGAUUCAAGACGCCAAGGUUGGACUGACUUGGCCUCCCGAACCUAAUAUCUACGUAACCAGCAAUCAUAGUUAGGUGGUCAUAGAAUAUGCUACGUACAAGUAAGGGGGCAGUUUUAUCUAUGGAAUACCAGUACACUCUCAUAUGUACCCUAUACCUUCCACUCUGUCAUCCAUCAUCUGGUUUAGUCCUCUCCCCUAGCUGGAAUUAGACUACUACAAUACGAUCAAACAGAACUUUGUGCAUUCAGGUAAGUUGCUCUGGUUUAGACAACAAAGUUGGUUGUAAUACACAUAUCAACCAGUAGAGACGCAUCGGCUCAGCCACUUAGGUAUUUCCUCCCAGGCACCUUUUGCCAUAGUAAGAGGUCCCGCGAGGCCAACACCCAUCUUCCACGUAAGAAGUAAUGACGCCCCACGGACCAAAUCAUAGCUAAACGCCUCGUAUGUCACAUAGCAAGGGUAUCAACCGUCACAUCCCCUCCACAGAUCAAAGGCUCAGGUCUUGCAAGCCUAUAUAUAUAUAUAUAUAUAUAUAUAUAUAUUUCAGUUUGUCCCAAGUUCCAGAAGAAGGGAUGAUAUUUAUAUAUUCCAAGUACUCCACCUAGGACUGCCAAACCUACACGAAUAGGGGACACCAGCAGUCCAUCUUCAAUUAGAUCAUGGACCACCCCAUGAAUCACGACGAGUUACGCAGGGCAGCACAUCCUUUACAGCUACUGCCCGCAAAACAGAACUACUCAGGCUGAUGCAAGCCAAUACUAACAAAUCUGACAUGAGGGAUGGCUCAAGUGGGUGGCUCAAGGGGCACGAGCAAUGCCACCUGCAUACCAGGAUUUCCGCUGGCGUAACAUCCAUGGGGCAUAGGAACAAUGUACUAGAGACACUGGAAGCCUGUAGCUGUCCAGUCGCGACACCAGAAUCACUCGCACCGAUAGUCCGGGCCUUCCCAUUCCCAACCCGGUAAUACCAUCAUCUUAUGGUCUCAAGUCAUUACUCCAAACCAUAUGAUACAGGCAAAUCUCAAGAAGGACAUACUGGAGGGCAAGGAUGUUAAUCCCGUCUCACUUCUCAUUGUCACCCAAGAUGUCACAGAGAACUGCUCAUACACCUAGGGCGAUAUCUCAGUGGUCCUUAAGGCCAGAGACACAAGUCCGAGUUAAAUUAUUCAUCAGUAUAAUUAUAACCUUCAUGGUCUGGGGUCAGUACAGACACUACUGCACUCCACAGAUCUCAGGCUAUAUUCCUGGCAAUUGUGUCCAGUACGUCUACCCUCAGGUCUUUGGACUCAACAGGUAUAUAGUACAUUUAAUUAUGGCUUUUCAGCACCUCUAUCAUGUUCCCCGUGUAGACCCUACACCGAUCAUAUGUUGCGCUGAAAGUUACUGUACGAUCUCAGUAUGACCAUGUUCAAUUAUGGCUUCACUGUCAUAACCAGUAACUUUCAACUGAUCCACAACUUAAAAUAAACAUCAACCCACCCCAUUAAAUUCCCCUCAAACUUACGUUACCUCCCAGGUCCACAGGAACUACAUUGGGCCUCUCUCAAACUCUUAUGCAUAGUCCUCACACAAAGCCAUCUAUGGGCGUUUUUGCAACAUAAUUCAGGUAAUCUUAGUGGACAACACGUCUUAUUUACAACCCCUCAUUUGGGCACUAAGUUCACAUAUCAGCUGGAUCGGAAUGUAUGCGUAAAGUGCAGCUAUCUCACAGCUUGCUACCUGUAAGUCAAACACAUCUUAAAGUAUUAUACUUCUGCUAUAUCUUGCACUGUCCACAUAUAGCCACACAGUAGCUCUCCUCACGACCCUACCUACACGGCCUACUCCUGGCCAAACGCACAGAAGGUAAUAAUUCCCUCAUAACAGACGUUCUCCUUACCUCUCUUAUUUUACUACUUCAAUCUAGCAUAUUGUCAAUUUACAACGCGUGCAACAUGCCACAUACAUUAGGACACAUACUGAAGUCAUCAUGUGGGUCAUUUAAGUUUCCCGGGAUCGACCUCACUAGCCAGCCGCCAUUGGGCUUACAUAGUCAAUUCCAUAUUGGACUGUUCCCACAUCACCAUUACGUAUUAAGACCAGUCCAUAUACAUCAUAUUAUACUGUCCUUCCUGCUUUCCUGGCUAUUUGACUGCUCGGGCAACCAUGAUACAAGUCACCACAUUAGCCAUGCACAUGCAAGGCCUAUGGUACGGCCUUACCUAGCAUCUAGGCUGUUGAGUAAUUCCAGCUUACAGGGGCAACUAUUGACCCAUGGCCAAUUUUCUUCACAACCACACUCUUUUAUGCAUUACAUACGACCCACCAAAGGGCUAUCCACCAUAGCACAAUGGCAGCCCCUCAUCUGGGCUAUUACAUAUGGCAUAGGAAUUAAAAUUUUGCCAUAAGUUUGCAUUUGUGUGACAACCUACCACAGCAUGCAUCUACACGUGGCCCUCACUAGGCCUUCACUCACGUGAUAUACGACCCACCGCGAGCAAUCCACUACAGCUCAAAUUCAGCCCACAGGUGGGCAAUUACAGACAAAUAAGGUCACGUUAGACCACUCAUAUCCUCCUUAUACGGCCUUUCUCGGCAUUUAAAAACUCCAGUCACAGACACUUUACGUGAUCUCCAAUUUUAGUUCCCGCUGGUAAACCAGGAAUGUUCCACAUAAUUCAUACAUAUUUCAGGUUCUUCUAGAGGAAGGAUGCCCAGCGGGAAUUCACCUAGGCACAAUAUAUUUAAGAGUGUCUUCCCCAUACAUAUAUAUAUAUAUAUAUAUCUAUAUAUCUCUAUCUCAAACGAUAAACUGGAGCACUCAAAAGGACUUCACUAUAGAGAAGUCCUUUUGAGUGCUCCAGUUUAUCGUUUGAUGUAUAUUUGGGACGUUGGAUGCACCAAAGGCAAGAUUUACUGGAACUUUUCAGGGGUGAGUGCCUAAAUUAUCAUUUUUGUGUGUGUGUGUGUGUGUAUGUAUGUAUAUAUAUAUAUAUAUAUAUAUAUAUAUAUUGUAUGUAUAUAUGUGUGUGUUUUACUAGGGUCAUCUACAUAUGUAGUCACCCCGAUGCAACGUCUUACACAGGGCUUGCUGCAAGCUCGCAGGACAGUUGGCUGUGGUGUAGGUGCCUGGAAAAGUAAGCCAGAUCAAAGGGUUUCGUAGAACUCUGCACGCUUCAAGGUAUAUCCCACCAUAGCCGCAGCAGCAACAUGGGGUCAUUCAUGGGCAAGCAAACCGGUUUGAGGUCUCUGACUAUUUGUCAAUUGGCCACAUAUAAACAAGUCCGGUCUUGUAUCCCUUAUUAUGAAUUUAUCAGACGGCUAACGUAGGGAAAGCCUGUCACCAUUUUUAUCUAGUAUAUUACCACGUACCAGGCAUUUACAAUACAGCUGCUGACCAGUUAUCUAGUCUUCAGUUUCAGGCGUUCUGGAGGUCCCUAACAACUGCCUCACCGAUAGCCAUGAUCGCUCCCCAGCUCCAAGAAUUACCUAUGGUACAGAAGAUUUUCUAAGUUACAGCAGGAAGUCACACAGUUGGCCUUCAAAGAUUACGCACACUGCUAUGACAGAGCUUACUGCAUAUAUCGAAGUUCAUGUCAGAUCACCACCUUAUAAACUGGUUCAAGAAUACAACGUUGGGGGGCUUUCGCAACUUUUGCCACAUCAAAAUAAAGGUCACACAACACUAUUAGGUUAUAUCUCCUGGACAUUUUACACCACAUGUUUCAGUUACAAACACCAUUCUAAAAAAAACAAAACGCCAUAUACUUGGCUUAUUAUGGUUUCCUAUGAUAAUUUACCAUCACAGGGCAACAGGAUUCCAAGCUUUGCCUACGGUAUUCUAACCUGUACAAAUACAGGAUCACUACGUGUUAAGCUUACCAUCAACUAAGACCAGCCAGAGGGGUCAAGAGGUACUUUUUCAGUACUACCCCACCAACAACGCAUACCUCAGCCGUCACAGGAAUUAAGGAAUGUAUUUGUGCAAUGUCAUAGUAAUACGCUAACUCCAUGACUUGUGUUUUCGUAAUAAAUAUCUUUGAUAACACUAUAUGGGUAUUCCUUUUUGCCCACUUAUUUACCGACCUACCACACACGUCGGUUUCUGCACACCUCUACUGACUUUUUAUUAUUAUGAUAAGUAUACUCACUAGAUAUUUCAUACAAUACUGAAAUUGCCCCGAACACAAAUUGGAAGGCGGGGCCUGAAGUUGUGGGAGGGGCUAUGUCCCUUUAAAAGGGACUCCCCCUCCUAUCUAACUUACCUACUGGGCCAGACAGGCUUCUGGCCCACCCUCCUCUCCCUCUAUUCAAUACUAUUUAAGGUAGGCCCACUAAUAUCCAGGCCUACCACACACGUCGGUUUCGGCACACCUCUACUGACUUUUUAUUAUUAUGAUAAGUAUACUCACUAGCUAUUUCAUACUAUACUGAAAUGGCCCCGAACACAAAUAUAUAUAUAUAUAUAUAUAUAUAUAUAUAUAUAAACAAAUCAAUAAAAUAUCCAUAGCAGUGUAAAAUAUCCACAACGUGUUUCACCAACAAGGCUUCAUCAAGUGGAGAUAAAACAGCGUUGUGGAUAUUUUAUACUGCUGUGGAUAUUCUAUAUUGUUUUAAUAAAGGUAUUUUGGCUACUUCCAUUUGUCACUUUUUUAUUUGUUAUUUUAUUUUCUACCUGGCAUCCACUUUAUGUUACAGUGAGGACUAUUCCUAAAGAAUCCAAGGUGGGGAUUAUACCACUUACGCCCUAUACAGUGAGCACUUUGUCUGCUCUACUAAAUGUGAGUAACAAUUAAUUAUUUCAUUCUCCUGGCAUUUUUUUUUUUAUACAGUGAGCACUAUUGUUGUCUCUUUUAAAUUUCUUUUAUGGUCUACAUAUUGAAAAAAGUCUACCUAACAACAUAUCAUCACAUAUCCCUAGGUGGGGAUUGUAACACUGCACGCUAUUCAAACUAGAGCUGGUUAUAAGCUCUUAAAAUUGUGAGAAGGACUAUAUUAGACUUUUUAUACUGGUAUUAUCUAUCUCUGGGAUAUAUUGCACUAUUGGUUUUUCCUUUUGUUUUUACAUACGGAUGAAUACCUUGAACUGUUUUAUAAGAAUUAUUCUGGAUAUAUUUGAGGCUAUAUCUUCUGGCAAGUUUUAUUGGACUUAUUUUUUAUAUUGGAGUUAUAUAUUUUAAACUCUACUUUGUCUAUUCUGCUUUGUUUAAAAAACAAUGGUGGUUUAGUUACAGUUUAUGAUCAUACAUUGCAUAAGCCUGCCACAACGUCAAUGUACCUCAUUCUUGGCAGGUCCUACUUUAGCAGCAUAAUGCCUGCUCUUUUAUAUAAAUAAGUUUUCACAGUAAAUAUAUUGAAAUGCAACAUAAAGUGCCAUUGUCUAGCAAUAUGAUAUGAAGAAACUGAAUACAGCACUAGUUCCAGCAUUUAAAUAGUAAUUACAAAGAAGUCAUUUUUACCACAAUCUAAAUCAUUUUUUAAUCACUGCAACCUUAUUAAUCUGUUUCAGUAAUAUGCAAUUACAAAAUGUAGUGAAUCUGUUUUUAUCAAUAAUGUGAGCAAUCCAGACUAGAAAUGAGUGCCUAGUGCUCUGUUCCUAAGUCUACCAUUUAUCUCUGCCUAGACACCAGCUUGUAAAAGCCAUUACUCAUAGUAAAACAAUAAGCAUAUGUGAUGUAAGGAACUGUUAACCAUAAAAUCACAAUCACAGAUCAAUGCUCAGGAAAAAAGGGAAAUUGGGGGCACAUCCGAAUCAUGCAUUUCUAUGUAGUGGUGCUGAUUACAAAUUAGGGAACAUCACGCACAAAUAGAUAAAUACAUAAAAAUAAUAGUUUAACACUUUACAAGCCUACUUAAAAUUACAUAUAUUGGACAACAAAUAUGGGGAUUCAGUUACACCAGAGGUUCCCAAACCAGUCUUCAUGACCCACCAACAGUCCAGGUUUUGACAGUAUGUCUAUUGGAAUAAAAAAAGGGAAAUACAUAAACCCUGGAUUGUUAGUGGGCCAUGAGGACUGGUUUGGGAACCACUGAGCUACACCAUAUGGCCAUAUUGUGUAAAGCCCACCACUAUUUCACAGUACCCCAAUAUAGGUUGGUCCUAUUUAAAUUUUAACAAUGGAGAUUAACAUGCAUAUGGAACACGUCCUGCUUAAACUGCUUUCAGAGACUCUCCUCAAUUUAUGCUUUCCUGUGGUCACCUUGGGUGCUCAGCCCAAUGGAAAACUGGCCUGGAUUCCAAAUCUACACAGAAAAAAAUGGGAUUUAGGGCAAACCUGGAACAUGCAUUUAUAAGUCGUGGUGCUGCUGUAAAGACCAAAAUGUAUCAUGUGAAUUGAACGUGCUUGUGAAUUGCAAAAUUUGGGUUAUGACCACAAUUUGUACUAAAAAUUCCAAUCUGAAUAUUCACUUCCUGCAAUUCAUGUGGCAAAUUUAGAGAUUAACCCACACUUCAAUAACAAUUUGUUUUUAAUGCAGUGUCUGAAUUGCAUACACUUUAUUGCCAUUUGGACAUUUAUCAAAUACUAGAUUAUAACAUCCUAAAUCAUAUUCAGGGUUUCUGUUCACCUGCACUAAAUAAAAAACAAUUGGAGGUAACAUUGGAGAUUUAUAAUAUCAUAUAUAUUUAUAUUUAAAGUAUGUUUGCAGCUCUAAAUAAAAUAGAUAAACAGAGACAACUAAAAUAGCAGCAAUUUCCCUUGAAGGAAAAAAACACGUCAGAGCCAAUUAUGCCUAUACAAUAGCACAAAAAAAUGCAUAAAGAAAAGGAGGAAUUACUUACUGCUGUGCAAAGAAUAAAUAAGACGCUGAAGCUCUAUAAAAGAAUAAGAGGAGCGAAAUGGACUUCCUACAAAACUGAUUUCCCGUCACUAGAAUUGCACUAGUAGCUCUAUCUCUCGCAAAAACACAGCUGCCAGCUUGCAGUACAACACCAGGGUCAGUGACAGCCAAGUCAGGGGCAAUCACAGUAGACAAUUGAUGGUGCAAUACAGGUAUGGUUUUUUAAAAAUCUUUUUUGAAGUGUAAGAGUCCUGCUUUAAGUAAUAAAUAUAUAUGCUUUGGUUGAACGUUAUUAUUUUGUGUGAUUUUUGCACGGCUUUCCAUGCCCCUCUUUAUGUUGACAUAUAUUGAGUGGAUAUCGGAGGGAUAAGAUAAACAAGCAAGGAAGCAACAGAUGCCAUUACAAUUAUUAUAGAACUUGGGCUGGGGCACAAUAUACUACAUUAUGAGGACUUUUAGAAGAUUUUAUAUAUGUAUCUAUCUAAUUUUACCUAUUCUGUACAUUUGUUGUCCCAGUAUUUUAUUUUUUUAUUUGUUCUUAUUAGGUGCCUAGCAAUAUUUAUACGUUUUGCUUAACUAAUGUAAAAUUACCUGUGGACUUCAACCUAACAUCAGGUGAAACAAUAGACAUCAUAAUAAACAGAAUGAGAUGCAGACUUGUCCCAAAUACUUACACCUGCCCUUUAGUUAGGAGACAAACAGAGUUAAUCACUAAAGUGAAAAUUCAAAGUAAAUUUCAAGUAAAAGCCAAAGUAGUCAAAAUGAAAACAUUCCCUAAAUCAGCUAGGCGUCCAGUUUUGCUACAUGGGCCUCAAAUUUGAAAUUCAUUUUGAAUUCUAAUUUGGUGACUAACCAUGUAUGUUUAUAUGAUCCACUAAAGCAUUGUCUUUGUACCCCGUAUUUGCAAUUUGACCCCAAUUAGUCCUUACAUAAUACAAAAUAUUAAAGAGUUUUUUGCAAGUUGGCCUACAGCACUUUUUUAUUAGGAAUCCAAGCACAUUCCAUGUUUCUCUAAUGAAACCAUUGAUUUCCAGAUGAUAGGCUUAAAUCAUACCCCCUCUGUUUAAGUUCUCGAUCACAAAAAGAUUACUUUGUGGAAGAUUCUGUUUUGCAGUUUCUGGAUAGAUUACCUCCAAUGUCAUAUUAACGGAAAAGGCUAUGUCCCGAUGAAGGGACUGGACAUCUGUCCUGAGGUGCUAGGUCCAGGUUCUGAACAUGAUUUAUACAUAAAUAAAUUACUAAAAGCAAUAUGCUACAUUCAUUGUAGUAUUUAAAAAAAGUCUUCCCUCCCUCAACCUAUCCUAUCUUGCACAAGUCCUAAAUAACCAUAUUGUUUUUAUAUCCUCUCUGUUCUUGUGUGUCAUUGACUGCCCCUUUCCUGUCUCCAGUCUCAGGUAUUCUCAUGGUACAGGUAGGCCUGAGUAUUGAGGAAAAACAACACUGUACCAUUUUAAGAUAUGUCUUUAUGACAAAGCAGGCAGCAGGUGAUUAUAGUUCUAUAUAAACCUUAUCAUAAGAUCAUAACUGCAUCUUAUCCCACAUGGAGCAGAUGCACGAAAAACAACUUGCAACUGUUUCAACAUGAACUAGUGAAACACUAAAGUUACAAAGUGAGCAAGGAAUAAAAAUUGAGACUAUGAAAAAAUAUUCAGCAACGGGGCCAGGUUCAACAUUUUCAUUAUGCAAAUAAGAUCGGUGCAGAGCAAUUAUCUUGAUGUAGAAUUAAUGCUGAAAAUAGAUAUCAAAAUUAGGAAGGAACAAAGAAUCAAACUAGUGGUGAAACAUCUGAAUGAUUUGGCACAGGAACGUAAUAGUUCUAAUUAUUAUAACUUCAGUAAUGGCCUUAUAAGCACACCGGCAGCAAGCCAAACAGAAUAAGAUAAUCUGUGGGAAUUGUGUGUCCAUCAGCAGUAUCCCAUUGUCAGGAAACUGACAGGGAUCCAAUACGCAGAGUGCGCACAGAAGGAGGUACGUAUACCGGACCUUAGAAUGGCCGGACUAACGUAAGGACAAAGCAAGAAUAGUCAAAAGGUAAGCCGAGGUCAAGGGAGCCGGAGGACAGGUAAGCGAGAUACAAGCCGAGUCAAAGGAGAGGAGAGGACAACAGGACAAAAGGCAAGCAAGGGUCAAAACCGGAAACACUAGAUAAAGAACGCGCUGAGUGACUAGCAAGCUAGAACCACGACAGGGCAAUGAGCAGUAGUAAAGGUUUCCUUUAAAUACCCUGUUACCUAAAUAGAGACCACGCCCCCAAAAGGUCCGGAAUAGCGGUUCCCGGCACUUUAUGCAAAUGCCGACGUCAUGACGUCGACGCUAGCCGUCGCGUCAUAAAAGGGGGAGGAGCUAGCGCGGCCGGCGCGAAAACGGCCGGAAUAUGCCGAAAUGCUAGGGGAAGGGAGCCCCUAAGCAGAGAGGAUGUCCUCCCUGGAUACAUCACCAACAGGUACCCUGACAGUACCCCCCCUUCUAGAAACGCCCACCGGGCGGAUGGGACCUGGCUUAGAAGGAAAACGAACGUGGAAGGCCCGAAGAAGACGAGGAGCAUGCACGUCUAUACCAGGAACCCAAGACCUCUCUUCUGGACCAUAACCUUUCCAGUCUAUGAGGUAUUGCAGCUUCCCCCUAGAAAUACGAGAAUCAAGGAUGGACUUGAUGAUAUAUUCCUCCUGACCAUCCACACGGACCGAGGAUGGAGGAGUAGAGCGGGAGGAAAAUCUGUUACAAACAAGAGGUUUCAAUAACGACACAUGAAAAGAGUUAGGGAUGCGUAGAGUAGGAGGUAGAUCCAGCAAAUAAGAAACCGGGUUGAUCCUCCUCAGUACCCUGUAAGGACCAAUGUAACGAGGAGCAAACUUCAAGGAAGGAACUUUCAGGCGAAUGUGUCUGGUACACAACCAGACCCUAUCCCCCGGAGAAAAAAUAGGAGCAGGACGUCUACGCCUAUCAGCAUGUGACUUAAACACCGCGGAACUACGUUCAAGAAUUUGUCGAGUCUGAUCCCACAACUUUCUCAGGUUGGCUAUAUGAAUAUCAACCGACGGUAUACCCUGGGAAGGAGACACCGACGGAAGAACAGUAGGGUUAAAGCCAUAGUUCAAGAAAAAGGGGCUAUUAUGAGUGGAACCACAAACAAGGUUGUUGUGAGCAAACUCCGCCCAAGGAAUCAGACCGACCCAGUCAUCCUGGUGUUCAGAAACAAAACAACGUAGAUAUUGCUCAAUUUUUUGGUUAGUGCGUUCGGCUGCUCCGUUAGAUUGAGGAUGAUAGGCCGAAGAAAAAUUCAGUUUGAUGCCCAACUGUGAACAGAAGGAUCUCCAAAAACGGGAAAUAAAUUGAGAACCCCUGUCUGACACAAUCUCAUUGGGAAUACCAUGUAAACGGAAAAUUUCUCUAGCAAAUAUCACGGCCAGUUCGGGGGAGGACGGAAGUUUAGGCAAGGGAACGAAAUGAGCCAUUUUAGUAAACCUGUCAAGGACCGUGAGUAUAACUGUAUGCCUAUUGGAAGCUGGUAGAUCAACAAUAAAAUCCAUAGCCAAGCAAGCCCAAGGUUUGUUGGGAACGACUAAGGGCUGCAAUAAACCACAAGGGAGAUCCCGCGGAAGUUUAUUCCUGACACAAACAUUGCAAGCCUUGACAAAGUCUUCCACAUCCCUACGUAAACCGGGCCACCAGAAGUCUUUUGAGAUCAGGCAGUAAGUUUUGUGGAUGCCGGGGUGACCAGCGAUCUUGCUAUCGUGGAAACAGCGAAUAAUGUCCACUUGGAAUUUGGGAGACACGAACAAGCGGCCCACAGGAGUACGUUCGGGAGCAAGAGAUUGUUCGUUCUGAAUAUCAGCGAGCAAUGGAGAGUGUAUUUUGACAUUGGUGUUGGCGAUAAUAUUGACUUCAGGAAUAAUAGGGAACAAAGUAUCCUCUGUAGAGGUGGUAGGUUCGUGCUGACGUGACAAAGCGUCUGCCUUAGUGUUCUUAGAACCAGGCCUGUAAGUAAGCACAUAAUUAAAGUGUGUAAGGAACAUAGACCAACGUGCCUGCCUGGCAGAUAAUCUUUUGGCCUCCCCCAUAUACGAUAAAUUUUUGUGGUCAGUCAAGAUAGUAACUGGGAGGACGGUGCCCUCUAACAAAUGUCUCCAUUCCUUUAAUGCCAUAAUGAUAGCUAAAAGUUCUCUAUCACCAAUGUCAUAUCUCCUUUCAGUGUGUGACAGUUUCUUGGAAAAAAAACCGCAAGGGUGCAGCGGCUUAUCUAAACUUUGUCUUUGGGAUAACACUGCGCCUAUCCCUGUUUCAGACGCAUCAACUUCAAGUAAAAAGGGUAGAGAGGUAUCAGGAUGAACUAAUACAGGUGCUGAGGCAAAAGACUGUUUGAGCGUUUCGAAAGCAGAUAAAGCCUCAGUAGACCAGGUUUUGGUAUCGGCUCCUUGUUUGGUCAUAUUAGUGAUAGGAGCGAUAACAGAGGAGUACCCUUUAAUAAAACGUCUGUAAUAAUUAGAAAAUCCAAGAAAUCUUUGUAUGGCUUUGAGUCCCUUAGGUAAAGGCCAAUCUAAAAUCGAUUUUAGUUUGGUCGGGUCCAUCAUAAACCCGUCUUUGGAAAUUACGUAACCUAAGAAAGUUACCUGAGACUGGUCAAAGCUACAUUUUUCCAAUUUACAAUACAAUCCAUGUUGUAAAAGUUUCUGUAAUACCUUUCUGACUUGUCUAUGAUGUGAAUUAAUGUCUCUAGAAUGGAUUAGUAUAUCAUCCAAAUAUACAAUUACACAUUCAUGUUGGAAUUCUCUAAGAACUUCAUUGAUCAAGUCUUGGAAGACGGCCGGGGCGUUACAAAGCCCAAACGGCAUUACGGUAUACUCAUAAUGCCCGUAACGGGUAUUAAAUGCUGUCAUCCAUUCAUCUCCUUGUUUAAUUCGCACUAAGUUAUAUGCUCCCCUUAAGUCAAGUUUAGUAAAAAUACUCGACCCCUUUAGUCUGUCAAAGAGUUCAGUAAUCAAAGGAAUAGGGUAAGCAUUUCUGAUAGUAAUUUUGUUCAAUCCCCGAUAGUCUAUACAAGGACGUAAGGUACCGUCUUUCUUUUCUACAAAAAAGAAACCCGCCCCCGCCGGAGAGGAAGACUUUCUAAUAAAUCCCUUGUCUAAAUUCUCCUUGAUAUAUUCCUCUAAAACUAAGUUUUCCUUGGUGGAUAGAGGGUAUACCGUACCCCUGGGAGGCAUAGUACCAGGGAAAAGUUUAAUAGAACAGUCAUAAGACCGGUGGGGAGGUAAAGUAUCCGCCUUACCCUUGUCAAAUACAGAUUUGAGGUCUAGAUAUUGUAAUGGUAUCUGAACGUCUGUGGAUUGAGAAGUGUUAGCAUAAGAGUUCACGGGGCAAACAGAAGUAACUCUCUGCAGACAUUCUUUCCUACAACCCAUACCCCAAGAAACGAUUUCUCCACCCUCCCAGUCAAUCUGAGGGUUGUGUCUCUUGAGCCAAGAAUAUCCUAGAACCACUGGGACUGCCGGGGAGGAAAUUAACAGAAGGGAAAUCAACUCUUCGUGGAAAAUACCAACAGUAAGCUUAACGGGUUCGGUCUCAUGGAAUAUUACUGGUUCAGAUAAAGGUCUACCAUCUAUGGCCUCAACGGCCAAGGGUGUAUCUCUCAAUUGGAAUGGGAUACAAUGCAUAUUAGCGAAAGUUUGGUCUAUAAAGCUUUCUGCUGCUCCAGAAUCUAAUAAUGCCAUCGUAGUAAUAAACCCCUUUUCCCAAGCUAGAGAGACAGGAAUCAGAAGCCUAUGGUCUUUUUUAUUAUGCAUAGAGGACAGUAAUGAAACACCCAAGGCCCGUCCUCUAAGGGAACUUAGGUGCGAGCGUUUCCCGGACGAUUAGGGCAACUGAGACGUAGGUGACCUCUCAGCCCGCAGUAUAAACAGAGACCCUCCCUUCUUCUGUACUGUCUCUCAGCCUCAGAUAAGCGAGUAUUACCUAUUUGCAUAGGUUCUGGUAGAGUAGGAUUAUAGGAGUCAGGGUUCUGAAAUGAGGGAGCGAGUCUUACAGGAAGUCUAGUAACUCUUUCCCGAGUGUUCUGCCUCUGUCUCAUGCGUUCAUCUAUUCUGGAAAUGAAGGAUACUAAAUCCUCUAAAUUUUCCGGAAGUUCUCUUGUGGCAAUUUCAUCUAGAAUUUCAUCAGACAACCCAUUCAAGAAAACAUCCAUAAAAGCUUGUUCGUUCCAUUUCACUUCUGCUGCCAAUGAUCUAAACUCUAGAGCAUAUUCUACAAGGGUCCUAUCUUGUUGUUUAAGGCGUAACAGGGAUCUGGCCGCAUUAAUCUUCCUCCCUGGGGGGUCAAAGGUUCUUCUAAAAGCCGUGACAAACGCAGUGUAGUUGUAGACUAAAGGAUUGUCAUUCUCCCAAAGGGGAUUGGCCCAUCUAAGUGCUUUAUCUAUUAGCAGGGUUAUAAUAAAGCCUACCUUAGCCCUGUCAGUGGGGUAAGCCCGGGGUUGUAGUUCGAAAUGUAUACUUAUCUGGUUUAAAAAACCACGACAAGCAUCAGGCGAACCCCCAUAUCGUAAUGGUGACGUGACAUGGGAAGAUGCGCCUACAGUGGCUACUUCCAAACCAGUACUUAGCGAGUGGCUAGCAGUGGAACGUAUUUCUUCAGACUGGGUACUGGAGCGUGUCAACAAAGUUUGUAACGCUAAAGCCAUUUGGUCCAUUCUAUGGUCCAUGGCCUCAAAUCUGGGGUCAGGAGGACUAGCACCUGCAGGAUCCAUCAUGGCCCUGUCGUAAUGUCAGGAAACUGACAGGGAUCCAAUACGCAGAGUGCGCACAGAAGGAGGUACGUAUACCGGACCUUAGAAUGGCCGGACUAACGUAAGGACAAAGCAAGAAUAGUCAAAAGGUAAGCCGAGGUCAAGGGAGCCGGAGGACAGGUAAGCGAGAUACAAGCCGAGUCAAAGGAGAGGAGAGGACAACAGGACAAAAGCAAGCAAGGGUCAAAACCGGAAACACUAGAUAAAGAACGCGCUGAGUGACUAGCAAGCUAGAACCACGACAGGGCAAUGAGCAGUAGUAAAGGUUUCCUUUAAAUACCCUGUUACCUAAAUAGAGACCACGCCCCCAAAAGGUCCGGAAUAGCGGUUCCCGGCACUUUAUGCAAAUGCCGACGUCAUGACGUCGACGCUAGCCGUCGCGUCAUAAAAGGGGGAGGAGCUAGCGCGGCCGGCGCGAAAACGGCCGAAAUAUGCCGAAAUGCUAGGGGAAGGGAGCCCCUAAGCAGAGAGGAUGUCCUCCCUGGAUACAUCACCAACAGGUACCCUGACACCCAUACAACAAACAGGCAAUAUUACGAUUCAUUUACAGACGAUGCUGGAAGGAAUACUGUAGUUUAAUAUCUUAAAGAUCACCAUGAAAACUUUUAUUUUUAGCAUUCUGAAAGGAGUCUGUUUAUCUUACUGGGUAUAUUAUUGGCCAUGAGUGAAAUAUUCAGCAAAUACAAAAAUAUUAGGUUUUUAUUUAUUUUUGGCUUUUCUGCUAGUUUUUUUAAUUGGACGACCAUUAUUUGGCAUCCUAAAAUCUUCUGGGUUCUGGUUUUCCUCAUUACUUGGAUCCUUUAUUCUAGGCAGUUUUUUAAUCUGGAGUCACAAGCUAAAGUCUAUUUCAGGCUAAUCUGCCAUUGCAUAUUUCUCCAGGCAGAUUACAUAGGAAUAUAGCACUGUUACUGCAUUUUGCCAGGAGGAGACGGGAGCUGAAACUUAACUACGACUCAUCCCAUUAAUUUUAGAUGCGCCAGCCUGCAGCUACUACUGUUUAACCUAACAGAGAGAGGCAUAAAUAGAAAUCACUGUAGUAAAUAAGCAAUUUCCCCGCAGAAACAAACCUUCACAUUUCCAACAUGCACAUAGUGACAAUGUGUUCCCUUAUGAUACUAGCUCAAAGAGGGAUCUUGUAGUAACCACUGACUUUCUACCCAAUCUGCCAUUGCCUAGGAGGUAAUUGCAUAUUUGCAUGUAUGUAAAGUAAAAUUCAAAGUUAAAGCCAGUAAGUUAAUGUGAGCACAUGCAGGACAAAUUAGUAUAAUAUUUAAUUUCACAUUCUGCCCCCGUGGCUCUCAAUGGUAUUUUAUAUUAUCUACACUUUAUGAGCCAUGUAAAAGGGUAAAAUGAAACAAUAUCUUUGUUAAUGUGACAGAUAAAGGGGCAAACUAACACAUUUGCCAGUUUUCAUCCUGAAAAAGGAAAACCUCAGUCAGUGUCGUGAAGUUGGUGAGUGGUGUACAAAGUAGGUAUCUAACGUAAUAUUGCAAUAAUUAGUACUCACCUAUUUUUUUUUUUCACAUUGUGCAGUAAACAUUUUUCCCCUAAUGAAAGGAUGCUAUUCUUGAAUGAAUGGUUUGCUCAGUGCUCAGUAGUAUUCACAUUUCAUCUGCAUUAUGACAUCAUCCUGAACUAUUAUGACCUCUCAAAGUCUUGUUGAUUUACUAAUGCCAAAGCAGGCCAAAAUUCUUAUUUAGUAUUUUGAUAUAUAAAUUAACCCCUUAAGGACCAUAGCAAGUAUCUAACUUCCUAUCCGAAACAAAUCCUAGAAGUUUGCUAUAUGUUUGUUCAAAUGUAAUUUUCCUCUUUUGAAUAAGGGGAAACCCAUACAUUUUAAGUAUCUUUUUUUUUUUUUUUUUUUUUUUAAAUCAAAACUGGUUGGGACACAAUUCUUGGGUAUAUUAAUAAACUUUUAGGACUGAAACAAGUGUGGACAGAACAGAUGGCAAUAUUACAUCUGAACUUACCACCUCAGGUCGAAUUGUGGCCACAAACUAAAGAGCGAGUCAAAUGUCAGUGUAAAAUGGAAUGGGAAAUUGCCUCUAAUUUUUGAGUUAAUCAAGAAAAAUAUUGUAUCUGGGAUAAAGGUCUUAGAGGCGACGUGGAGCUGACACCUAGAGCGAACCUGAGUUGAGUUUAUUAUAGUCCUUCCCUUCUCUAUGCAGCCAUGCCCCCUUAUACUGCCCUAAGAUAAUUUAGGUACUGUAAUUAUCUUCACAUUGUAUGUUUAUACAUGGAAGUCUAAAAUAUAUAUGUAAUUUUGAUAUAACUUUUAUAAGAUAAUGAAUUAUGCAUGUCUUUUUAUAUUUUGAAAACCCCCAAAAAAUAUAUAUUUUAAAGUAUCUUUUUUUUUUUUCCAUUCUUUAUUUUUGAAGUGCAGAAUACAUUAUUUAUUAAUUAAUAUUAUUAUAUUUAUAUGGUGUCAACAAAUUCUGUAGCGCUUUACAAUUGGUGGACUAACAAACGUAAUUGUAAACGGACAAGUUUGAUACACAGAAACAGAGAGGCCCUGCUCAAUGAGCUUACAUGCUAGAGGGAGUGGGGUAAAGUGACACAAAAGGUAAGAGAAGUAGAUUGGUAGAAUAGUAUUCAAUGAAGACUUAGUGUGGGUUUUUUUCUGGAGCCAACAGUUUAAUUGAUAUGCUUUUGUGAAAAAGUGAGUUUUUAAUGAUUUUUUUGAAGGAGUGGAGACUGGGUGAAUGUCUAACGAAAAAGGGAAAGGAGUUCCACAGGAACGGUGCAGCCCUAGAGAAGUUUUGGAUAUAAGAAUCAGAGGUGGGAGUACGAACAGAGGAUAGACGCAAGUCUUUGGCAAAGCGUAGGGGCCUAGACAGAACAUACUUGUGUAUUAGGGAGGAAUGAUAGGUGGUAGGAGCAUUAUGAUAGAGAUUUGAAAGCAAGAACCAGAAUUUUUUAUUGAGCCCUAUAUCUUACGGGAAGCCAAUGCAGGGACUGACAGGGGUGAGGGAGGUGCGGGCGGACAGGAAAAUUAGCCUCACCAACGCUUUCAUUAUAGAAACGGGAGUAGCAACACUUGAGGGAGGAAAGACCAGAAGUUAUGUUUUGGACAAGUUGAGCUUAAGGAAGAGGGCAGCCAUCCAGUUAGAAAUAGCAGAGAGGCAGUCAGAGACACUAGUCAAGAGGGGCGGGUAGAGAUCAGGGGAGGACAGAUAGAUUUGCAUGUCAUCUGCAUAGAAGUGAUUUUGGAAGCCAAAGGACCUGAUGAGUUUACCAAGGGAGGCAGCAUAGAUCGAGAAUAGUAAGGAACCAAGGACUGAACCUUGGGGGACACCAACAGAGAGAGGUUGUGAGGAAUAGGCAGAUCCAGAGAAAGAAAUGCUAAAAGAGCAGUGGGUGAGGUAGGAGGAGCACCAGGAGAGAGCAAUAUCUCAUAGACAAAGUUUACAGAGGAUGAGAAGAAGCUGUUGAUGAUCAACAGUAUCAAAAGCAGCAGAAAGGUCAAGGAGAAUUAGGAUAGAAUAGUGACCAUGAGAUUUUGCAGCGAGUAGAUCGUUUGAUACUUUGGUCAGAGCCAUUUCCACAGAGUGCUAGCACGGAAACCAGACUGAAGUGGGUCGAGCAGAGAAUUGGAUUUGAGGAAGUCUGUCAAUCUCCCAUACACAAGUCUUUCAAGGAUCUUGGAUGCAAAAGGCAGUAGUGAGAUAGGGCGGUAGUUGGACGGGGAGUUAAGGUCAUGGUUGGACUUUUUUAGAAUCGGGGUUACAGUUGCAUGUUUGAAGGGUAAUGGAAAUAUGCCAGAGGAGAGGGAGAGAUUGAUAAUUUUAGUGAGAGGCAAAGCAGGAGAAUGAGACAGAGUACAGAUGAGAUGCGAGGGAAGAGGAUCAAGGGAGCAAGUGGUGGGGCGGGAGGACUGGAGCAGAUCAGAAACCUCUUCCGCUGUAGCAGGUGCAAAUGAGUAUAGAACAGCAGAGGGAGUGAGGUUGGGGGAAGUAUUGUAAGUGGAAGGAGAGAGAUGAGAGAUCUCUUCCCUAAUUGUGGAGAGUUUGUCAGUGAAGUGAGUUGCAAAGUUUGUGGCCGUUAAGUCGGUAGGAGGAGGAGGAGCAACAGGGCGAAGAAGAGAGUUAAAAGUGUGGAAUAGUCGUUUGGGUUCGCGGGAGAGUGGGGUUAUGAGGGUAUUGAAGUAAUUUACUUUUGUAGAGGAAAGAGCCAAGCUGUAAGAGCGCAGCAUAAACUUAUAGUGGAGAAAGUCAGAUGCGGAGUGAGACUUCCUCCAGCAGUGUUUAGCAGUGAUGAAGCAUUUUUGGAUGUAUCAAGUCAGCUUGGUGUGCCAAGGUUGUAGUUGGGGGCACUUCCUGCAUUUAAGUGUAGGAGGUGCCAUGAUGUCUAGUUGAGAGGAAAGGGUGGAAUUGUAGAAGGAGAUUGCAGAGCUAGGGCAUGUGAGGUUUGAGAUAGGUAAAAGGAGAGUUUGGAGGUUAGUGGAGAAGUUCUCUAGGUCAAGUCCAUUGGAGUUUUCUGUGAUAUUGAUGUGCAGAGGGUGGUGUCAGUUGGGUCCUGGGUAUGCUGAAUAUACAUAUUCAUAGAUUAACGAUGACAGUUGGUUAAACAUAAUCAGAAAGAAUAAACAUACAGGUGAAACGUAACAUGUCAUGAGAGCCUGUACUUUUUCUUGUUGUAUGGAAAAAUAAAAGUAAUACAAGCAGAACAAGCUAAACUGGCAUGUCUAGAUCUAGCUGAUAAUGCAGGCUUGCAAAUGAAUACAGUUGCUAUCAAAUAGCACACACAAGACUUGAGAAAUAGAAACACUAGACAUGGUGAGUAUAAUAUAGGUAUUAGUAUGAAAUAUCAUGCCGACUGGAGUCACUGAGACUGUUCCUCUGGAACUAAAAACAUCACUAUAUCACUUCAAUAGGAUAUUAUACAAUGAGAAAAAUAAAAAUAAAUAAUAAGUGGCAUGGGUAGGAAUACAUAUGAAAUGGCUUUCUCUAUCAUCGAGUGAGAAUAAGCUUGGAUAGUAGUCCCAUAAGCAUGCUCAACAAACAGUGGCAAAGCUAAUACACCUCCUGGGAGACUGUGUCGGAGCAGGGCACCCCUUCAGCUUCAGGCCUUCAUGAGGGCAGGCAUCAUUAAACCACAUACAAGAAAACAAGUCCUGCACUCACUCCCAUCACUCCUGGGUGGCAGCAAGGACCCAAUACAUACAGAACUAAAUAACUUCCAUUUGUUUAAAUAUGCAUAGGGAUUUAGGAGAGAGCACAGGUAACUUUUUCUUUGUUUUUUAUCAUUAAACCACAGACUUUGGAUUCUCGUGAGACCGAGUCUAUUUGCUUUAAUGGGAGGGCAGGGGAGGUUAAUGGCAAUCUCCACUUUCUGCAGGUAAUAUUUCUCCCGCAUUGGUGAUGCACGGAGGCUAAGCCUCAGGUGGCUCUCAGCCUAGGCAGACAACUACAAGAUUGUUUAACUUUCCUCUCAAUUUUUCGCACUGGGGAGGCCUUACUGUCUCCAGCUACAGUUCAGAUAUGGUGGCUGAUUUGCGUGCUUGUAUAGCGCUGAAAAAUCUAAUUCAACCGUCAAAGGGAGUGGGCAGUGGAGUCGCUAGAAGCACUUGGGUUAGCAUUCGUGCCAUGUGGGGUUGAGCAAACCGCACCUGCCAUCUUGGAGUGUCGGAGAGUGGAGCGGUGUAGUGGAAACCAUGAUUGAGUAAUGAGUAGAGCUGGGACAGCUGACAAUACUCCAGAGGAGACCGGGCUAUCCCCUACCGGUCUAAGUGGGGGAGUAGGACUGCAGUGGUCCGAACCACGGAUUACAGAGCAGAUCCCCAAAAGGCUGCUGCCGAGUUUCCCUGACCUGCGGUAUAUGCAGGAUGAAACGUGCAGGCUAGGUAUUAGGGGUUAACACCCCAGUUUCAGCCGGAUAUGCAAGAUCUCGAGCUCCGCACAUCUGAACAGUCAGAAGGUGAGGCAAGUAUAAUUUUUCAAAGGACAGAUAAGGAUUUCUUUUAAUAACCAAUGUACCCUUUUAUUAUGAUUAAAACAACCCCACCACACUGUUUUAUCUAGGAGAAGCAUAAAGGAGAAUUUUCAUUAUAUGUUGCAUGGGCAGGGAAAUUGUAACAGGGGAACUAAGCUAAUAUACAAAGUAUAGGGAAGCUAUAAGGCUGAAUGACACAAGAAGCAUCUACUAGUUGCUCUACUGAUGCCCUACAUAAGUGAUGGUUUCUCUUGCCCACACAUCCAACAGCCCCAGCUCUCUGUGCCUGUGGUCUUCUCUUCUAAUCAUGUUAUGUUUGGUUUGCCUUACUGUCAUUCUCCUCUAGUCUGUCCCUGACUGCUCUUACCUGUGUUUCUCCUGUCUGUGCCUCCCAGAAGACCCCCUGUGUUUGUGUUCCCACUUGUUAGUGUCAUCCUAUCCCUUGUUCUCCUUUGUUUUUCUGCUUUCCCCCACACCUGUUUUAUUUGUUUUUUGUCCUGUAAUCGUUCUGUCUUUAUGGUUUUCUUGCUGUUUCUUUGUUGAUUUUUUUCUUUUGUUUAUUUUUUUUCUCAUUAUUUUCCCCCUUAUUUAUCCCCCUUCUCUUUUUUAUCUGUUUGUCAUUCUCUCUUUUUCCUUUCACGUACCAUUUUACUUUUCACCUUUUUAUUUUAUUUUUUCUCUACUUGUUUUGCCCCAUCUUUUCCCUUUUUUUUUUUGUUCUUUCAUUGUUUCGUUUUGUUUCCUUUGUCCCUUUUCUUUUCCUCCCCUUUUUCUUUUCCCACUUUCCCUUUUUAGGCCUUUUAUCCAAGAACUUAAAGUUCUCAUGAGCAUGCUGCCAAAUGCAUUUAUGCCUUUUCAGAAAACAGUCGAGAUAUAAUGCAGAUGCUCAUAUAAUGAGCAUCUGUUUAGAUCAGCGGUGGAAGAAGCUAAAUCAUAUGAAGAUAAAUCAUAUGGGUGGAUGCAUGAUAUUGCAUUAUUGCAAAUUAAGUGGUGCUUUAACCAAAGGAUCCAUAGCAAGCCAUGAAAAACUAAAAACAGUAAUGAAUCCAACAGAAACAUAAGGAAAAAGUGCAUAACAAUGUACUUUGUGCUAAAGAGUACCUGUAAGGGAACCAGGUCCCCAUUAAUCCCCAGUAGCUGCAACCUACAGUCCUGCAGCUAAAAACAAGGCUACACUAAGAUCUGUCAACAUGGGUGAGCCAAUAUAAAAACAGUUGUGUGUAAAUGUCCAUCUCAAAACAGGCAUUAUUGGCAUAUGGGGUCUUAAUACUCUCCCCCAUUAUACUAGUUGGGGGAACUUCUGAGGCUUCCUGAGCUGAGACGGUGAACCCCCAGUGAAUCAGUGUCAGCUUUGUAGCCUGGACAUCUGAGGUCAUAGCUUUUGUCCAGCUUUUUUAGGAAAAAGCUACAGUCAGCUAAUAUGGCCAGCACAUCAUUCUGUUGUACUGUCAGCUGAAAAGGGAACUUCAGUAUCAAACCAUCUUUGGUGAAGAAACUCAAGCAAAGGGUGCUGUGUUAUCAUUUUAUGCAGUGUAGAGGGUGCCAGAUCAUUGUAGCAUUGUUUGGUAAUCCCAUCCAGACCCAAAAGCAAGUCUCACACCUUUCGGAGGAUGGACUCCUUGGUUGUAUAGUAGUGACUUUUAAUGAUCACCAUGAGGGAUCCUCUGGUCCUGGUCUAUAGCUUAGUGCUCAGUGGGCUCUGUACAGGAAUAGCCCUGUAUUAUACAUAGUGUCUUAAAGUGCUGAAUCACUCUUACUGCUUCCAUGGGAAUUAAUAGGCUGUUGUAGACAUGUCCUACUAAUCAAAUGACCUUGAAUUAAUUAUCAGAAAGUGCAACCACUUCUAUAAAAGCCAAAGUUUUGCAGGGCUGGAGCAUUCAGGUGUGUGUUAACACAAUGCCAAGGAGGAAACACAUCAGUAACAAUCAUGUAGAAUAAAUUGUUGCUGCCCAUUAAACUGGGAAGGGUUAUAAGGCCAUUCCCAAACAAUUUAAAAUCCAUCAUUCUAUAGUGAGAAAAAUUAUUCUAAAGUAGAAAACAUUCAAGACACUUGCCCAUCUUCCAUGAAGUAGACAUCCCAGGAAAUUUCCACCAAGGUCAGAUGUACAAUGCUCAGAGAAAUUCCAAAAAAUGCAAGAGUAACAUCUCAGACUCCACAGGCCUCAGUUAGCAUGUUAAAGUAAAAGUACAAUAACAAUUAGAAAAGACUGAACAAAUAUGGUUUGUUUUAAUUGGAGAGAAGCUCUUCCUUCUAAAAAGAAGAUGGCUUAGAUAUGCAAAGUUGCAUCUGAACAAACAACAAGACUUCUUGAACAUUGUUCUUUGGAUAGACAAGACCAAAGUUGAGAUGUUUUGCCAUAAUGCACCUCAUCACAUUUGUUGAAAACCAAAUGCAGCAUAUCCGCACAAACAUCUCAUAACAACUGCCCAGUACGGUGAUGGAGAGGUAAUGAUUUUGGCAGCCACAUGACCUGAUAACUUUGAAGUCAUUGAGUCGACCAUGAACUCCUCUGUAUACCAUAGAAUUCUAGAGUCAAAAGUGAGGCAAUCUGACAGCUAAAGCUUGGCUGAAAGUUGGUCAUGCUCAGGACAAUGAUCCCAAUCACACCAGCAAAUUUACAACAGAAUGGCUGGAAAAGAAAAGAAUCAAUGGCUCAGUCAAAGUCCAGACCUUAACAUGAUUGAAAUACUGUGGCGGAACCUUAAGAAUUCUGUGCAUAAACAAAUGUCAGCUGUGGCGAAACCGACCUCGCCACUGGGCAUUGGAGAAGACUGAUUGCCAGCCUCCUGCCAUGUGACUAUGGCCCCUGGGAUGUAUUGCCCUUUAAAGAUAUGAUUUGGGAAUAAUAGAUUUGUGCUGCUGCUGGCCCUUUAAGAACCAUCUGGGGACAUACUAUGGAGUUACUGGGUGGCCACCAUUUCAUGUAUCAGAGGCACAUGGUGAGAACAAUGGAUGAAGCACAUGGUGAGAACAAUGGAUGGCGGCCAUUUUAACUCACAGACACUGUUUGGACUUUUCUACACGGUGCCAUCUCGCCAGUAUUUGGUCACAAAGACAUCGUGCAGUAGUUUUAAACUAUACAACAUGGGACACAUUAUGCAGUUAUUAUUUUUCAUAUAACCUGUAUAUGUUCUGCGGAAUCUGCAUUAAACUGUAUCUUCCAAACUACUGAACGGAUCUGGGUGAAUUUUGAAUAUGUGGUUACCCCUGGAUCCCCUGGUUCCCAGGAUAUUUUUAUGGGCAUGUUUUGGGCUCCCUGUGAUAUGUUUUAUAAUACUGUAUUUCUCUGCCUGUGAUAAUUAUAUUAACCAUUGUGUUCAGUAAUCAUAUCACAGGCAGUGGGGAGGAUUUUGUAUGGGAGUGUCUGUGUGUAUUGUACGGAUUGAUUGGUUGUAUUUCAAAACCCUGUGGGCAGUACUAUGUUUGUGGAUUGUGAAUAAAAGAGGCUGUAUGUGCCAGUAUCUGCUUGACCUCAAAACGAAGUGUCGUCUCGUUAUUGGGGGAAUUGGAUUGUAUGCUGAUUGCUAGGAGUGUAAGCUGAAUGUAUGCUUUUCCUGUUCAGCUGCUUACAGCAUUCAUAUGCUUGAGAGGAUUCGUAUGCUUCUCCAGUUUGGUGGUUGUGGUGUCUGCUGCAGUGCUUGGAGUCCUCAGGAAGCGCUAGGAGCAUCCAUCAACGGAGGUACCCAGUCGGGGUGCCAGGUGAUCCGUUACAUCAGCAAACCUCAAUGACCUGAAGCAAUGUUGUGAAGAAGAAUGGGCAAACAUUUGUCUGCAACAAUGUGAGAAACAGACAAAGUCAUUCAGAAAAUGAUUACUUCAUGUUAUUGCUGCUAAAGAUGGUUCUACAAGCUAUUGAAUCAUAAGAUGUACUUAGUUUUUCACACAUGGCUUCUCCACUUAGGUUUUAUUUUUUGCUUAAAAAAUCAUGACACAGUAUAUGUCAGGUGUUGUUGUUCAUCUGAGGUUGUAUUUACGCAAUUUUAAGAUCUGCUAAGGAACAUAUGAUUUUUAAUAUGUCCUAAUAUGUAAAAAAACAUUUUUAACAAAAAAUAGAAUUCACAUAGGGUUUAUUUUUCUUUUGCCAUGACUCCAUCACUCCAUCCAUCACGGAUUCCGUUAUGUUUUGCAGUCAUAAAUUGGAUUGACAUGAUUGGUUGUCCACUUUUUCUACUGUGUCUUGCAAUUAAGAAUAUUACUUGUUUAAAAUGCCUUAAUCAGUGCUUAAUGAGGUGUAGGCUUCUUCUUUUGGUUCUGUCCUCCAAUGUUUUGUCCAGCAAUGUGGUCUAUGAGCCCUCAAUCUGAAAUAUUUCCCAAAAGACUAUAAGCCUCUCCUUGAAAUAGAUAACUUCAAUUUCUUUUUUGGUUGAAGAUGAGGCCUCAAGGGGUUUCAGCCUAAACUACGUUAUCAGCCACAAAUCAAUCUCUACUGGAUACCAAUGGUUCCAAACCUGUCCCUUAAUAAGCUUUGACCAAAAACAUUUAAACUAGAUUGCAUUUAGUGCAUGCUACAAUAUAUCAAAAGUUGCUUUUCCCUUUAAAGGAAAACUCUAAGGUUAAAAAUAAAUAUAAAGUCACGAUAGUCUGCUCUCUACCACUGUUCAUCUUUUAUUAAGUCAGUCUAAUCCAGUGCAUGUCAUAGAAGCAUUCUCUUGGCGUUCCACCAGUCCAAUGCUUGUCAUAGAGAAUUUAUUUAAAUAAUUAUCUAUCAAUUAUAAUAAGCACUGUAUGUGUCCAUUGUCAUGCUGUACAUGAUGACGCUAAACAUGAAGGCCUUUCAUUUUUGAAGUUCUUAACAAAGAAAUAUCUCUAGUGGCUCUCAGUCUAACAUCCACUAGAGAUGUUUUCCUGACAAAGGUAAACAUGAUGCUUUUCAAAAACACUACCAAAGAAAUAGGACAGCAAAACUAUCAUAUUAAGAUUUAGUUCUUGUGGUGCUUAGAGUGUCUCUUUAAGGGUUUGCAGAUGCCCUGGCCUACCAACUGUUACAUAAUGACACAGUUUUAUAGUAUGAAAUAAAGUCCAUCAAGUCAGGUGCGUACCUGGAGCAUUUGGCACCCGGGGCGGAUCUUAUAUAUUUAGCAUUGAGCAGUGUUUGCAUUUUUUUUUAAUGUAUUUAGCACUGAGCCGUGUUUGUGUGUUUGAAUGUAAGCAUGAAGUAUGUGUGAGUGAAUGUAGUGGUGAGCUGGAAUAUGAUGUCAUAUUCCAGCUCCCAGCAUCAGUAGACAGCCCGCGCGGGGAGACAGCCGCCCGCCGCACUGAAGCCCCACUGGACCCCAGGGACAGGUUCAUGCCAGCUCUUCAGGUAGGGAGGCUGGGUGGACAUUUUUAGAUUUAAAAAAAUUAUCAUUUGUGAGUGUGUGUGUCUGUGAGUGUGUGUGUGUGUUUCUGUGAGUAUGUGUGUGUAUGUAUCUGUGUGUCUGUGAGUGUAUGUGUGUGUGUCUGAAUAUGUGUGUGUGUUCCCCUUUAUUCCCCAGGACUUGACCCCUGAUUUUUGUUUUGUUUUUACUCUUUUUGUAUACUUGAUAUAUGUGUGUGUGUGUGUGUGUAUGUACCUCCCUAUACAAUUUGUCUUAUAUGUAUUCGUUAUAAAAGUAUUGCAUAUAUUGAUGUAAAAAUAUAAAACCUUUAUUAAAAAAUAUUUCUUGCAUUUAGGUGACAUCCUCUUUGGGUUCAAUGAGUAGUACUCUUUUAUUUAUUUUAUUUUUAUUUUUUUCAAUUGGUUCAAUCUAUAACAUUUUUAAACUUUUUUGCAGAGUUGUUCAAUAUUUUGUACACGUAUUAUCCUGUGGGCAUAGGAGUGAUUAAUAGAUCCUCUGACUGGAUGUUUUGCAAUAUUAGGCAAUAAAGAAGUAACCUGAGAGAGGACCAACGUUUCAGCUAGGUCAUUCCAAAAAGGGGUUAUACAUUUAUCAUGAGUUUAAUGUCUGUAUCUAAAACUAUAACAAAUGUUUAAUUCUUGUGCACAUUCUAAAGUGCAAGAAAGGUAUUAACUCAGAAAGACAAGUGCAGCAACUUUGCUGCACUUUCAAUAUAUCUUUGUAAGUGGACUUGAAGUCCAACACUGUUUCCAUUUUCUUUUAGAUCCCAACUGGAAGUAUCAUAUUGCCAGGCAGGUUCAUUUUCUGUGGUGUUACGAAUUAUGUGAGAGAUCUGCAAUAUCACUUACACAGAGACAGAGGAAGAGCAACUGUUGUAGAGAAUAGAAUAAUCCUUCAUUGAAAUCUGUGGAACUCAGUUAUCUGUACGAUUUAUACAUUCAAUCUUCAAAGGUCACUAGUGAUUACUAUUGUAAUGUAUACUCUAAAAAUAGGCGCUAUGAUCAUUUGUCUUGGCUUAUUUUUAUUGUAUCUAUUUCUUUUUUUAACAGACACAUCUAUCAGUGUUGCCGCAGCCAAAUUCUCAGUAGAAAACUGCACAACUCUCAGGUAAAAUCAUUCAACUAGGUUAUAACUAGUGGUUAAGGACUUUUUAAAUUGAAAAGAAAUUAAUACAUAAACUACUGAGUACUAUUAUAUAAAUUCAAAACAUUGAAAGAGAUUUUAGUAUUUAGAUUACUAAAUGAAACAAAAACUCCAAAUGUUAUUAGGGGCAGUUAAUCAAAACCCAGUAUAGGCCACAUACCUUAAUGUUUAAGAACCAAUUGCCAAAUCAUUUUAUACAUGUGGCAAAUGAAGCUUUUAAAGUUUUUGAUAAAUGUUUUAUUUAAAAAAAUGCAACUUUGAAGACCUUGAAGCGUCCUUUUUCAAAUUGCAGAUACAGGAAGCACAACAAUUAUAAAUUCCUGUUUCUCAUCAUUUAAAAUAAUAUUUAUAAGAAUUUUCAAUUCUCAUAUAUACUAACAGUGAAUCUGUUUGAAAUUCAGUUAUUUCAAGCGAAUAAGCACAUCUCAUUCAGUAUUAUCUUGUGCCCACUUGCUUUUUUUUUUUUUUUUAAAAGGACCACUAUAGGCACUUCAGCUUAAUGAAGUGGUCUGGGUGCCAGGUCCAGCUAGGGUUAACCCUUUUUUCUAUAAACAUAGCAGUUUCAGAGAAGCUGCUAUGUUUACCUAUGGGUUAAUCCAGCCUCUAGUGGCUGUCUCAUUGACAGCCGCUAGAGGCACUUGCGUGCUUCUCACUGUGAUUUUCACAGUGAGAAGACGCCAGCGUCCAUAGGAAAUCAUUGUGAUUGCUUUCCUAUGAGACUGGCUGAAUGCGCGUGCGGCUCUUGCCGCGCAUGCGCAUUCAGCCAAGGAGGAGGAGAAGAGGCAGAGAUGAGGAGGAGAGAUCCCCGCCCGGCGCUGGAGAAUGAGGUAAGUUUAACCCCUUCCUCCCCCUAGAGCCCGGCGGGAGGGGGACCCUGAGGGUGGGGGGCACCCUCAGGGCACAAUAGUGCCAGGAAAACGAGUAUGUUUUUCUGGCACUAUAGUGGUCCUUUAAGGUUCUUUAUAUUUACAUUUCAGUAAACACAGAAAGGUGAUCAAAAUAAAUCAUUGAUAAUGUAGAACCAACAUUGGUACAAAAAGAAUAGCCAAUUUAUGUGAUAGGUAUAAAAUUUGUCUUAAUACAGAGUCAAGACUGGAUGAACAAUCCUAAAUAUAGGAGUGUUGCUUGGCCCACUAGACAGGGGUCCUUUAAGGUCCCUGGCCAUGGGCUGAUGUCGUUGUAAGUGUGCUUAGACUCAUCCUUGUUAAUUGUGGUGUUGUCGGGUAGCUGCGGUAGUGUUAAUGGGUUGCUAAGGCAUCAAGGGUAAAUUUGGGGAUACUAUUCAUAUUUGCUCAGAGAAUCGACCCAUUGUACCACUGGUCAGUGUCUGCUUUAAAAUCAGCAAUUCUCAUAUGAAAAUUCUAUAUAAAAUAUAGAAAUCACAUAGUUAUCAAACACCAGAUUCGUUAAUAUGGAUUAAUUUUUUGCAGGCACACCUACAAUAAUCUGAAAUAAAUGCUGGCAAUGCAAGCAGACCGCUACAAAAGUAUUAAAGGGUCACUCCA
Non-coding RNA from Pelobates cultripes (western spadefoot toad), 36498 nucleotides. NCBI's taxonomy places the organism in Eukaryota, Metazoa, Chordata, Amphibia, Anura, Pelobatidae. The record is from the annotation of a GenBank genome assembly.